Molecule: ribosomal RNA, 617 nt
Filed under: Blastocystis sp.
Lineage: Eukaryota; Bigyra; Opalinata; Blastocystidae
Description: SSU rRNA
Rfam family: Eukaryotic small subunit ribosomal RNA
Source: RNAcentral
AUCUGGUUGAUCCUGCCAGUAGUCAUCCGUUGUUUUCAAAGAUUAACCCAUGCAUGUGUAAGUAUAAAUAAUUUUACUUUGAAACUGCGAAUGGCUCAUUAUAUCAGUUAUAGUUUAUUAGAAAUAUUUUACUACUUGGAUAACCGUAGUAAUUCUAGGGCUAAUACAUGAGUAAAACCUCAACUUCGGAAGAGGUGUGUUUAUUAGUAUGAAAACCAUAUAUCUUCGGAUAUAAUAGUGAGUAAUAAUAACCUUUCAUAUCGUAUGUCGUAAGAUAACGAUAGUUCUUUCAAGUUUCUGCCCUAUCAGCUUUCGAUGGUAGUAUAUGGGACUACCAUGGCAGUAACGGGUAACGAAGAAUUUGGGUUCGAUUUCGGAGAGGGAGCCUGAGAGAUGGCUACCACAUCCAAGGAAGGCAGCAGGCGCGUAAAUUACCCAAUCCUGACAUAGGGAGGUAGUGACAAUAAAUCACAAUGCGGAACUUUUAGUUUUGCAAUUGGAUUGAGAACAAUGUACAAAUGUUAUCGAUAAACAAUUGGAGGGCAAGUCUGGUGCCAGCAGCCGCGGUAAUUCCAGCUCCAAUAACGUAUAUUAACGUUGUUGCAGUUAAAAAGCUC